RNAcentral lists this long non-coding RNA (2840 nucleotides) under Mytilus galloprovincialis (Mediterranean mussel). The record is from RNAcentral. Lineage: Eukaryota; Metazoa; Mollusca; Bivalvia; Mytilida; Mytilidae.
ACCAUGUGGCGGUUUAUUAGCAUUCUUAGUGUUUCGGUGGUAGCUUACGGAUUUCUAUUGGAUAAAGAUCCACAACAAGCGCAAGGGCAAGCCCAAUAUUUAAGCGUUUCAACAUACAUGACUGACCAAACACAUAUAAAUCACGAGUUCGAGAAAUUACGAAGAGAACAGGAACUAACUAUGAACCUUCUUACUAAACAGCUUCAACAGAGGUUCACUGAAAUGCAGAGUCAAAUAUCCAAACAGUCUGCCGUAAACGAAUCUUGCUUAACAAAUACUGCAGCAUUGGAUAAAAAAUAUCUUGAGUUAGAAGAAAAUAACACUAGACUCACUGACAGUCUGAAAAGCUUGCAGUUAAAAUAUGAUAGUUUGAUUUCGGCGCUAACGAAUAAAACGUCAGAACUCAAAGGCAGUCUUCAUGAGUUACAGCAGCUGAAAAACAUUCAUCAUCUCCAGACAGUGAAUAAUUUACAACAAAAGGUACAAACUAUGGAAACAUUUGUUAAUUCACUGCGCAGUCAUGAGCAGGCUCGGAAUCAGGAUUUCCUUGCCUUGUAUAACCUAACAACACAUUCCCAAGACCAAUUUCAAAAUUCCAACUCAAAGAUGUCGGACAAAUUAGACAAUAUAACAGCCGUAUCACAAAUAAUGAUUUCUGAUUUAGAAAAACGAAUUUCGGACCAGUAAUAUGUUAUCGAUUCGCGUAUUUGCAAUUCUUCCGACCAAGCAAAAACUCAAAUAAACGGUUUAAAAAAACAGGUAACAGAUUAUGUCCAAGAAAGUCAAAGUGUUGAAAAGUGGCAAAAUGAUUCACUUGCUGCUGUGAAACAACAAAGCCACGAAAAUAGCAUAAGAGGUACAGUAUACAUUAUAAACAAGAAUGUGUCCAUAGUACACGGAUACACCACUCGUAUACUAUCAUUUUCUAUGUUCAGUGGACAUACGGACGAACGAACGCACAGACCAGAAAACAUAACGGCCAUAAAUGGGGCAUAAAAUUCAAAUGUUCCAGGCUUUUGAUUGAGUAUGCAAGACGUGCUUUUCGUCUACACAUGACUCACCAGUUGCACUGGAAUCAAAAAUAUUUGGAGUGUCAGUUACAUGUAUUGUAUGGUUGUAUGCAUACAGGAGCAUCAACAUUGUCUCAACAUAACUCCCUCUUAAUUCCAUGUUGAAUGAAAGCUACAACUUCAUUACAGUCUGGUUGUGUUAAUAUGAUUAUAAUAAAUAAGGGAAAACUUUAAUUGAAAAAGAAGGAGAUGUGGUGUGAUAGCCAUUGAGACAACUAUACACCAGAGACAAACGAACGUGGUUGUGAGAAAUUUAGGUCAAUAAGGCAACUAACGACAAUGAAACUUUAAAAUAUUUUUUAUUAGUUUAUCAUUGAGUCCAGAUCUUGUAUUGAGUUGGGUGCUUCUGUGUUGAAGGUUGGAAAUUUAGCAGGUUUUAAGACAACAAUUGCACUCUUCCUAUUAUAUCUGGAGUAUUUUCUUUUCUUUCAAAGAAUUGCGAUCUCAUGUGCUCCCAUGUCUUCUUCGUUUUCAAGUCAUGAAUUGAAGGAUUGUGGUCUUAUUUGCUCUCACCUCUUGUUCAUAUUCCACUCUGGAAUUGAAGGAUUAUAGUCGCAUGUGCAUCCACGUUUUACUCAUGUUCAACUAUGGAAAUGAAGGACUUUGUUCUCAUGCGCGCCCACGUCAUCUUCAUAUUCCACUCUGGAAUUAUAAGAAAGUUCUGGGAACAUACAAUCUCAAUCUCAGCUUAGGGAAACAUACGAUUAUAUCGCCAAGUUGUUAUUUUAAAGUGUAACUGUAUUUGUGAUCAUAAAGUUUUAUUUAAAAAAUAAAAAUUAAUUCCAAACUAAUGGUCACCACUUCAGUGAUCUUACGGUAGUGUGCUCGCUUUGCUUGCCAAAGAUUUUGGAUUCGAUACGCAGCCUAGUCAAUACGAGUUAACGAGCACGCUUUAAAGUAAGAGCAUAUACUAGUACUUUGCGGACUCGCUCACAAUAGCAAUUUGGAAAAUGUCAUUGAUUUGUUCUAUGGAACGAAACGCUCGAUUAGAUGUAUAACCUGCAAGCUUAGCAUGCAAGAUGACAGAUAGAAUGAAGACAAUUUAUACUACUUGUAUACAUAUGAUUGCGGGUGGUUAUUUAUCUGAUUAAGCGUUUAGUUCCAUACAAAAACUCAAAGUUCAAAUUUUAGAUAUUUCCCUAUUUACACGAAAAGAUUACACGAUACAUAACGGCAACAGUAGUAUACCGCUGUUCAAACUCAUAAAUCCAUGGACAAUUAAAAAACAAAAACGGGGUAACAAACUAAAACUGAGGGAAACGCAUUAAAUAUAAGAGGAGAACAACGACACAACACUACUAUGUACAGAAACACACACAGAAACCAUUCAUAUAGGAACUCGUUAGAGCUCGACGUUUUUCAUCUCGUAGUCUUUCAUGUGUUUUCUAUUUUACAUUUAUUGUGUCUAUGUUAUCAAUUAUAGUUGCUGGCUGAGCAUACGUUGAAUGUACGUUAAUUAUUUAUGACCCAAGAGGUAUAAAAUUCCCGAAUUCAGACUACUGGUUUACAAUCUUAAUGUGACCGUGAAACAAUUACAAAACAUCCGCAUUGAUAAAUGAACUACUGUUUAACCAAGCUUGAUAUAUCAUAGCAUAGUCUGACGUUUUCAUAACAAACGCUAAAAUUGUAAAAUGUGCAUGAUUAUAACGGCAAAAACAUUAUGAUCACAUUACCGAGCCUCAUUAGUUUCACUGAUGUUUUCAUAUGUUCAUAAUUUCAAUAUUAUAUUUUUGUAUUUCUUUCAGUUGCCCUUUCAGCAUGUGUUGUAUC